RNAcentral lists this unclassified non-coding RNA (566 nucleotides) under Hevea brasiliensis (rubber tree). Lineage: Eukaryota; Viridiplantae; Streptophyta; Magnoliopsida; Malpighiales; Euphorbiaceae. The record is from RNAcentral.
GAACAAAUCAGAUUGAGUAAAAAGAUUCAAGUCAACAAUGGCUUUUCAGACUGGCUUUACUCUCCUUAACUUCAUAUCACAAAACAGUAAUAAUGUUUUUGAGGAAAUUAGUGACAUUAUCUCAAUCUGUAUUUCUUUGGUAAUUGUCGAACAUAAUAGAUUAAAGAUGUCCAGAACACAUGGUUCUUGGAUGGUUUGGCUACUUUCAGCUGCAUGCUUUACACAGUUUCAGGCAUGGUUCCUCUUCUCGGUUUUCCUGCUACAUCACAUUUCUCAUCUCACUGAAGAGUAUGUAAUGAACUCCCUUGAAGUAAAUUGAAAAGGCUGAUGGGGUAUAGGAUUCGGUCGAGGCCCAUAAACUUUGAUCUGCCGAACAUGAGUAUCCCUUCCGUUAAGAUGAUUCGAUAGCACAGCAAUUUGUAACAUAAAUGUAUUGACAAAAGUUUCCCUGCCAAAAAAAUUUGUAUAAAGGUAGUUACCAACCGACAAGCUCCACAGUCUUGAUCUCCCUCAAGUUGUGAAAUCCAUCGCCAGUGCGAAUAGAGAUCUUACUGGGGGUAUAGCUC